GAUUUCUGGUACGACGGAGCUAGUCCGCCCCUGUCCAAGGGAGUGUGUACUGGUUCUCGUCUGCCAUCCUUGUAGAAAGUCGGUACUGCCGCUUGCGGUUGGUACCGCCGAUCUACAUCUUUUACUUUGAAAAAAUUAGAGUGUUUAAAGCAGGCUUGCGCUAUGAAUACAUUAGCAUGGAAUAAUAAUAUAGGACUUUGGCCUAUUUUGUUGGUUUCUAGCGCUGAAGUAAUGAUUGAUAGGGAUAGUUGGGGGUGCUAGUAUUCAGCGGCCAGAGGUGAAAUUCUCGGAUUCGCUGAAGACUAACUUAUGCGAAAGCAUU
RNAcentral lists this ribosomal RNA (322 nucleotides) under Thaumatomonas sp. Its description in RNAcentral is "SSU rRNA". The stretch from base 111 to 322 matches the Rfam family "Eukaryotic small subunit ribosomal RNA", at positions 741 to 955 of the family's 1831-position model. Lineage: Eukaryota; Cercozoa; Imbricatea; Thaumatomonadida; Thaumatomastigidae. The record is from RNAcentral.